GAGAAGGGGAGGGAUGGACCUGUCUCCGGUCUGGGGAUUUGCAGCCCCCACCCGAUGAGAGCAGGGGACGGCCGUGAUCAACAACUUAAGAAAAACCAACUAACCAAGAGGAAGAAAAUCUCUAAUUAACCCAGAGAGACAAGCUCUCACUUUGUCCACUGACGGCAAUUAGUCACCUCACUUGGCAUUGUAUCAAAUGAAGAUGUUAACCACAAGGGUAGAUAAGGUAGUUAGGUUUGCUUCAAAAUCUACAGCCCACUCUAGAUUCAACUUUCAUGACCGACAUUUGGAGA
This 293-nucleotide unclassified non-coding RNA is filed under the name Hevea brasiliensis (rubber tree). The record is from RNAcentral. Lineage: Eukaryota; Viridiplantae; Streptophyta; Magnoliopsida; Malpighiales; Euphorbiaceae.